GUGUCAGCAGCCGCGGUAAUACAGAGGGUGCGAGCGUUAAUCGGAAUUACUGGGCGUAAAGCGCGCGUAGGCGGCUUUGUAAGUCGGAUGUGAAAUCCCCGGGCUUAACCUGGGAACUGCAUUCGAGACUGCAUAGCUUGAGUAUGGGAGAGGGAGGCGGAAUUUCCGGUGUAGCGGUGAAAUGCGUAGAUAUCGGAAGGAACAUCAGUGGCGAAAGCGGCCUCCUGGACCAAUACUGACGCUCAUGUGCGAAAGCGUGGGGAGCAAACAGGAUUAGAUACCCUAGUAGUCC
Molecule: ribosomal RNA, 292 nt
Filed under: uncultured bacterium
Lineage: Bacteria
Description: partial 16S ribosomal RNA
Rfam family: Bacterial small subunit ribosomal RNA
Source: RNAcentral